AACGCUAGCUACAGGCUUAACACAUGCAAGUCGAGGGGAAACGACAUCGAAAGCUUGCUUUUGAUGGGCGUCGACCGGCGCACGGGUGAGUAACGCGUAUCCAACCUGCCCACCACUUGGGGAUAACCUUGCGAAAGUAAGACUAAUACCCGAUGAUAUCUCUAGACGACAUCUGAAAGGGAUUAAAGAUUUAUCGGUGAUGGAUGGGGAUGCGUCUGAUUAGCUUGUUGGCGGGGUAACGGCCCACCAAGGCAACGAUCAGUAGGGGUUCUGAGAGGAAGGUCCCCCACAUUGGAACUGAGACACGGUCCAAACUCCUACGGGAGGCAGCAGUGAGGAAUAUUAGUCAAUGGGCGAGAGCCUGAACCAGCCAAGUAGCGUGCAGGACGACGGCCCUAUGGGUUGUAAACUGCUUUUAUAAGGGAAUAAAGUGAGUCUCGUGAGACUUUUUGCAUGUACCUUAUGAAUAAGGACCGGCUAAUUCCGUGCCAGCAGCCGCGGUAAUACGGAAGGUCCGGGCGUUAUCCGGAUUUAUUGGGUUUAAAGGGAGCGUAGGCCGGAGAUUAAGCGUGUUGUGAAAUGUAGACGCUCAACGUCUACACUGCAGCGCGAACUGGUUUCCUUGAGUACGCACAAAGUGGGCGGAAUUCGUGGUGUAGCGGUGAAAUGCUUAGAUAUCACGAAGAACUCCGAUUG
RNAcentral lists this ribosomal RNA (696 nucleotides) under uncultured bacterium. RNAcentral describes it as "bacterial SSU rRNA". It matches the Rfam family "Bacterial small subunit ribosomal RNA", at positions 32 to 715 of the family's 1533-position model. The record is from RNAcentral.